CUCGAAAUGUAGUGGACCGGGGUGGAAACAUCCCUUCCCGCAAGGGCUGCUAUAUAGGUGCUGCAUGGCUGUCGUCAGCUCGUGUCGUGAGAUGUUGGGUUAAGUCCCGCAACGAGCGCAACCCUUAUUGUCAGUUGCCAUCAUUCAGUUGGGCACUCUGGCGAAACCGCCUCGGAUAACGGGGAGGAAGGUGGGGAUGACGUCAAGUCCUCAUGGCCUUUAUGUCCAGGGCUACACACGUGCUACAAUGGUCGGUACAAACCGUCGCAAACCCGCGAGGGGGAGCUAAUCGGAAAAAGCCGACCUCAGUUCGGAUUGAAGUCCGCAACUCGACUUCAUGAAGCUGGAAUCGCUAGUAAUCGCGGAUCAGAACGCCGCGGUGAAUACGUUCCCGGGCCUUGUACACACCGCCCGUCACAUCACGAAAGUGGGCUGUACUAGAAGCCGGUGGGCCAACCGCAAGGAGGCAGCUGUCCAAGGUAUAACUCAUGAUUGGGGUGAAGUCGUAACAAGGUAGGCGUAGUGCU
RNAcentral lists this ribosomal RNA (527 nucleotides) under uncultured bacterium. RNAcentral describes it as "bacterial SSU rRNA". It matches the Rfam family "Bacterial small subunit ribosomal RNA", at positions 980 to 1509 of the family's 1533-position model. The record is from RNAcentral.